RNAcentral lists this ribosomal RNA (675 nucleotides) under uncultured Acidobacteriota bacterium. RNAcentral describes it as "bacterial SSU rRNA". It matches the Rfam family "Bacterial small subunit ribosomal RNA", at positions 56 to 706 of the family's 1533-position model. The record is from RNAcentral. Lineage: Bacteria; Pseudomonadati; Acidobacteriota.
UGCAGUCGGACGAGAAAGCGGGCUUCGGCCCGUGAGUAAAGUGGCAGACGGGUGAGGAACACGUGGGCAAUCUGCCCGGAGGUGGGGGAUAACCCUUCGAAAGGAGGGCUAACACCGCAUAACAUCUCGUGGACUUCGGUCCUCGAGAUCAAAGCUUGCCUCUACGCGUAAGCAAGCGCCACCGGAGGGGCCCGCGCCCCAUUAGCUUGUUGGUGAGGUAAUGGCUCACCAAGGCAACGAUGGGUAGCCGACCUGAGAGGGUGAUCGGCCACACUGGAACUGAGACACGGUCCAGACUCCUACGGGAGGCAGCAGUGAGGAAUUUUGCGCAAUGGGCGAAAGCCUGACGCAGCGACGCCGCGUGGAGGACGAAGGUCUUCGGAUCGUAAACUCCUGUCAAGCGGGACGAACCCUGGAGGGAUGAAUAAGCCCACCAGCUGACGGUACCGCUGGAGGAAGCCCCGGCUAACUCCGUGCCAGCAGCCGCGGUAAUACGGAGGGGGCCAGCGUUGUUCGGAAUUAUUGGGCGUAAAGGGCGCGUAGGCGGCUCGGCAAGUCAGCUGUGAAAUCCCUCGGCUCAACCGAGGAACUGCGUCUGAUACUGCUGGGCUUGAGUCCCGGAGAGGGUAGCGGAAUUCCCAGUGUAGCGGUGAAAUGCGUAGAUAUUGGGAGGAA